UCGAACGUACAGGAGAGCAAAAGAGGGUUUCUCUUUGAAACCCUAAACUCACGAAAUUUCAGUAAAUCGAAGGGAAAUCGAGCUAGAAAAUUUGGGGCUUUUACUAAAAUUGUGAUCACCAAGCUUAGAGAAUCAAGAGUUUGACUCUGACAAGCUAGGUAGGAGCUUGGAAAUGAACGGGUCAAAUGGAUACAAGUUCAAGUAUGAAGCUCGCAAGGAUGCAAGAAAUAGUUAUCGAGUGGAUAAUUACAUCGCUACACUUAGCGGCUAUUGAGGCAAGGUAUUUAAAUGGGUCAAUAUAAUGAUCCGAGCCAGGUACACAUAAUAAAUUAACUCUCAUUUAAACGUAAGGUUUAACGAGAGUUAAUCGGAGUCUAAAAUAGAUUUCGGUUACUUUAAUAGGUAAACCGAAUGUUACGAACGAUGGUCAUUACGUUUGAAAGGUCUAAUAACCUUUCAAACAAAAUCAUAGUUAAGAAGAAGGCUUAUGGGUCAAACUUGUUUACAAAAAUCUUUCAUCGUUAAUGAAGGGCCAAAAUGGACCAAAACGUCCUUAUAAGUCCAACUGAGCAAACAACCCCUAAAGGUUGUUUGGAAACGAGUUUUAUGGUUAGACAAAUACUUAGGACAAAUAUAGAAGUUGAAAGAUGUAAUACCUUAGCCAAAUGGCUCUAUUUGAGUCUUGCCGUAAAUAACGAGUUGAAGUGUAAAAACUCGUUUUAUAUAGUUUAUCAUAGUAAACCCACAAUCAAUUCAGCCAUGGUGGAAAAUUAUAUGAUAAGAAACAUGGUAAUGCAAAGCAUGAAGAACAUGCAGCAGCUACCGUAAGUUACGCUAGCUACCGUAACUUACGGUAGCAACUAAAGUUGUUACGCUAAAGAUGUACUGCCUUACGGCAGCCCCUGAAUGCCCAGUGGCUACCGUAACUUACGGUGGCUACCGUAAGUUACGGUAGCGCCCAGCUAUUUUUGUUGAAUUUCGUUUCGUGUACCCGUUUGAUUACGUUUUAAACCAAGUAUGACUAAAUCAUUUCAUGUUUAUGAAAUGUAGGUACAUUUUGAUGCUGGAAGAUGAUCAAGCUCAAUGAAGAACCGAACACGAUAAAGAUACAUGCUUCCGCAAGUUGUCGACGUUUUACAUUUCAAACGACGAAUUUAAUUACACUAAGUUGUUUUACUUUCAAGUCUAGAAAAGUUUUAAUAAACCCGUAUUUGAGCAAGAAUGUUUAAAUCUAAA
Long non-coding RNA from Helianthus annuus (common sunflower), 1236 nucleotides. RefSeq lists it as uncharacterized. The record is from RefSeq and is a predicted model, not a curated record. The transcript has 3 exons. NCBI's taxonomy places the organism in Eukaryota, Viridiplantae, Streptophyta, Magnoliopsida, Asterales, Asteraceae.